RNAcentral lists this transfer RNA (76 nucleotides) under Pseudomonadota bacterium. RNAcentral's name for it is "tRNA-Val". It matches the Rfam family "tRNA". Rfam says of the family: Transfer RNA (tRNA) molecules are approximately 80 nucleotides in length. Their secondary structure includes four short double-helical elements and three loops (D, anti-codon, and T loops). Further hydrogen bonds mediate the characteristic L-shaped molecular structure. tRNAs have two regions of fundamental functional importance: the anti-codon, which is responsible for specific mRNA codon recognition, and the 3' end, to which the tRNAs corresponding amino acid is attached (by aminoacyl-tRNA synthetases). tRNAs cope with the degeneracy of the genetic code in two manners: having more than one tRNA (with a specific anti-codon) for a particular amino acid; and 'wobble' base-pairing, i.e. permitting non-standard base-pairing at the 3rd anti-codon position. Lineage: Bacteria; Pseudomonadati; Pseudomonadota. The record is from RNAcentral. RNAcentral also lists the same sequence under 1 other name.
GGGCGAUUAGCUCAGCGGUUAGAGCGCCUGUCUUACACACAGGAGGUCAGUGGUUCAAGUCCACUAUCGCCCACCA